This 74-nucleotide transfer RNA is filed under the name Pseudomonas fluorescens. RNAcentral's name for it is "tRNA-Ala". It matches the Rfam family "tRNA". From Rfam's summary of the family: Transfer RNA (tRNA) molecules are approximately 80 nucleotides in length. The record is from RNAcentral. Lineage: Bacteria; Pseudomonadati; Pseudomonadota; Gammaproteobacteria; Pseudomonadales; Pseudomonadaceae.
GGGGCCAUAGCUCAGCUGGGAGAGCGCCUGCCUUGCACGCAGGAGGUCAGCGGUUCGAUCCCGCUUGGCUCCAC